AGCUCAAAUUUGAAAUCUGGGGCCCUCGGCCUCCGAGUUGUAAUUUGGAGAGGCAUCUUCGGAGGGGAGCGCCGGCCCAUGUUCCUUGGAACAGGACGUCGCAGAGGGUGAGAAUCCCGUGCCAGGCCGGCAGCCUCCCCUCGCGUGAAGGGCCUUCGACGAGUCGAGUUGUUUGGGAAUGCAGCUCCAAGUGGGUGGUAUAUUUCAUCUAAAGCUAAAUACCGGCGGGAGACCGAUAGCGCACAAGUAGAGUGAUCGAAAGAUGAAAAGCACUUUGAAAAUAGAGUCAAAAAGUACGUGAAAUUGUUGAAAGGGAAGCGCUUGAGACCAGACUCAGACCCGAGCAAACACCGCGCCCCUCGGGGCCGUGCACUUGCCAGGGGCUGGGCCAGCAUCAGUUGGCGUGGCGGGACAAAGGCGCGGGCAAUGUGGCUCCCCUCGGGGAGUGUUAUUAGGCCCACGCUCAAUGCCGCCGACGUCGACUGAGGACCGCGCCUCGG
Molecule: ribosomal RNA, 500 nt
Filed under: Helvella aff. sulcata F. Landeros 1848
Lineage: Eukaryota; Fungi; Ascomycota; Pezizomycetes; Pezizales; Helvellaceae
Description: eukaryotic LSU rRNA
Rfam family: Eukaryotic large subunit ribosomal RNA
Source: RNAcentral